This 465-nucleotide ribosomal RNA is filed under the name uncultured bacterium. RNAcentral's name for it is "partial 16S ribosomal RNA". It matches the Rfam family "Bacterial small subunit ribosomal RNA", at positions 28 to 507 of the family's 1533-position model. The record is from RNAcentral.
GACGAACGCUGGCGGCGUGCUUAACACAUGCCAGUCGAACGGUGAACUCCGCUUGCGGGGGGAUCAGUGGCGCACGGGUGAGUAACACGUGGGCAACCUGCCCUCAGCUCUGGGAUAACUCCAAGAAAUUGGGGCUAAUACCGGAUAUGACCGCUGACCGCAUGGUCUGGUGGUGGAAAGAUUUAUCGGCUGGGGAUGGGCCCGCGGCCUAUCAGCUUGUUGGUGGGGUAGUGGCCUACCAAGGCGACGACGGGUAGCCGGCCUGAGAGGGUGACCGGCCACACUGGGACUGAGACACGGCCCAGACUCCUACGGGAGGCAGCAGUGGGGAAUAUUGCGCAAUGGGCGAAAGCCUGACGCAGCGACGCCGCGUGGGGGAUGACGGCCUUCGGGUUGUAAACCUCUUUCAGCAGGGACGAAGCGAAAGUGACGGUACCUGCAGAAGAAGCACCGGCCAACUACGUG